UACGUAGGGUGCGAGCGUUAAUCGGAAUUACUGGGCGUAAAGCGUGCGUAGACGGUUUCGUAAGUCGGGUGUGAAAUCCCCGGGCUCAACCUGGGAAUUGCAUUCGAAACUGCGAGGCUAGGGUACGGAAGAGGGAAGCGGAAUUUCUGGUGUAGCGGUGAAAUGCGUAGAUAUCAGAAGGAACAUCAGUGGCGAAAGCGGCUUCCUGGUCCAGUACCGACGUUCAGGCACGAAAGCGUGGGGAGCAAACAGG
RNAcentral lists this ribosomal RNA (253 nucleotides) under uncultured bacterium. RNAcentral's name for it is "partial 16S ribosomal RNA". It matches the Rfam family "Bacterial small subunit ribosomal RNA", at positions 524 to 776 of the family's 1533-position model. The record is from RNAcentral.